GGCAGUGCUCGAAUUUUAUUAAUUUGCGAAAAUUUUAGGUUUUAGUUAUAAUUUUUUAUUCCGGGAGUGUUCGAAAUUCUUAAAACCGCGAUCGCUUAAAUAUCUGAUGUUUAAGAAAAGUGUUUUCUAUUUUAAUUUAAGGCUUCAAAAGUGUUCCAAAUAUUUUUAAAAUUUUAGGUUUUAGUAAAUUUUUUAUCCCGGGAGUGUUUGAAAUUCUUUAAAAUCGCGUUAUUCGAAAAUCUCGUGUAUUUGCAGCGGAUCUCUGAUGCAUCGAUUGCAGACUAUACAUAAGUUAUAAAGAGUAAAAAGAGAUCGAAACCCGUAGUGUGUGUGCCUGAUUGAUCUCCUGGCAGAUCGAUAUUUAUAAUCCAAUUUAGAAACAAGGAUCAAUCAAGGAUGGAUUUUGAUGAAGAAAGAAUAAUCGGAAAGGAGAACUAUUCAUGGAAAAUCAAGGAGGAUCAAUAACAACAAUCGAAAGAUGCGUAGGCGAGACAAGAGUUUUAAACGUUUCGCUAUAUAUGUGGUCAAACGUGUCUUGAAAAAUUAGCUUUUUAUCAACGAUUCAAUCUCUCCUAAUAACGGACACAGUUCCACUUCUCAACGACCAUGUGCAAAUAAUCUAAGGAAGUGUUGGCGUGGACCGUGAGAACUAAGGAAUCUAAUUGUAUGCUUCUUAUGGGGUUUUCGAUGUGACAAUCCCAGGUGAAACGGAAAUAGUUUAAGACAUGAACGAACGACAAGUGGAAGAAAACUUUAGUCCACCUGCACCAAAGUCAACAAGCAGGAUGUACCCGUAUGGCAGGAAAUAAUGUACCUGUUUCUGCAAGGAGUUCAUUUGAAAUUUAACUGUAAGGAUUAUUAAUAUAAUGAAAAAAAAAAAACAAGUGUCUUAGAAACUGAAGGUUAUAAUGUUGUGGACAAGAAACAUAUCCUUAUUAGGAAAAGAAAAAAAAAAGUUUGCGCAAUUUCUUUCAACCGUGAAUAAUUUUUUUUUUCGCGAGUGCUCAAAUUUAUCUUAAAUCGUUUUAUUUUUCCCAGUUUUAUAUUGUAUUUUUUAUUCAUUCUAAUUUUUUACACAUGCGGUGUCGGGAGUGGUCGAAUUUUCUUAAAACCGCGUUCGUUCGAUGAGAAAAGUAUAUUUAAUUUUAUCAGUAUAUUUUCGGGAGUGUUUCACAAAUUUUUAAAAUUCGCGAGUGAGUGUUUUGUGCCAAUUUGGAAACCACCGUUCGAGUGCCGCUUCGGGAUGGAGAUCGGGCAUGGGCGAAGGGUGUCCACGACUGAAGGACAGGAAGGAGGAUGCAGAGAAAGCAUAGCCCCUGCAUAGUUCCCCGGUCUCCCCGCAUAGAAGAGGGGCCACUGGGGUACUGGUCCAGAAGAGGCGAUGCUGCCAUCGCUCCGUCGAGGGAAUCCGCGAUUGGCAAGUGAAAAAAAAAAAAAAUUUUUAAUACUAUAGCGACACUAAUAUCAUUAAUUUCUAAAGAAAUUAAUUAUUUCAGUAAAUUAGUGUUUUUAAUUCAAAUUUUUAAAAUACAAAUAUAUUAAUUUUAAUUUUUUGGAAAUUAUUUUAGAACUUAAUGAAAUGUCAAUUUGUGUUUUGCAAAUUAAUUUUUG
Molecule: long non-coding RNA, 1611 nt
Organism: Leptopilina boulardi
Lineage: Eukaryota; Metazoa; Arthropoda; Insecta; Hymenoptera; Figitidae
Exons: 6
Source: RefSeq, a predicted model, not a curated record